RNAcentral lists this long non-coding RNA (574 nucleotides) under Heterocephalus glaber (naked mole-rat). RNAcentral's name for it is "lncRNA (ENSHGLG00100039630.1)". The record is from RNAcentral. Lineage: Eukaryota; Metazoa; Chordata; Mammalia; Rodentia; Bathyergidae.
CGGCGGCGGCGCCGGCGCCAUGGCCCCGACCCUGCUCCAGCGGCUCUUCAGCAAAAGGGGCGGCGCGGGCGGCGCGGCCCGCGAGCGCGCGGCCUUCAGCUUCUAAAAGAGGAAAUUAGUGGGCUGCUGCAAGUAGCUUGUUUCAUAUGCUGUACAGGAAGUGAGAUGAUCGCUGCUCACUGCAGAAUAUCCCUCAAAUAAUAUUCCUUCAAGAUUUGUGUCCAGUCCAAGUUGAUGGUUAGGGUAAACCGGAAGAACUUUAAAUGCUUGGGACAUGUGUGGCGGCUCAGCGAAAACCACAAACCAGCCAGGGGCCUGGCCAGAUUCAGCCCAGAUGUGUGAGUGAUGCUGGCUCUGCUGCGGGCAGGAUUUACAAGACGUUUUUAUGCACAAAGAUUCAGAAACGUGCCUGGGUUGGCAGAGGCACUGAUCACACGGAACUGGACAACAGAUUUUUCCAGGAAAAUAGAUGAGGCCAUAGGGCUUUUGACGUGAGAAAUCCUGAGAAAUCCGGGAGUAUUCACCAAAAAUAUCUAUGAAUCAUUGUUCCUCUCACCUCAAGAGAAAGCUUGCC